AUUGAACGCUGGCGGCAUGCCUUACACAUGCAAGUCGAACGGCAGCACGGGAGCAAUCCUGGUGGCGAGUGGCGAACGGGUGAGUAAUAUAUCGGAACGUGCCCGGUCGUGGGGAUAACGUAGCGAAAGCUACGCUAAUACCGCAUACGAUCUACGGAUGAAAGCGGGGGGAUCGCAAGACCUCGCGCGAUUGGAGCGGCCGAUAUCAGAUUAGGUAGUUGGUGAGGUAAAGGCUCACCAAGCCGACGAUCUGUAGCUGGUCUGAGAGGACGACCAGCCACACUGGGACUGAGCACGGCCCAGACUCCUACGGGAGGCAGCAGUGGGAAUUUUGGACAAUGGGCGCAAGCCUGAUCCAGCAAUGCCGCGUGCAGGAUGAAGGCCUU
RNAcentral lists this ribosomal RNA (386 nucleotides) under uncultured bacterium. RNAcentral describes it as "bacterial SSU rRNA". It matches the Rfam family "Bacterial small subunit ribosomal RNA", at positions 30 to 418 of the family's 1533-position model. The record is from RNAcentral.